ACGCUCGACACCUACGGGAGCAGCAGUGGGGAAUAUUGCACAAUGGGGGGAACCCUGAUGCAGCGACGCCGCGUGAGUGAAGAAGUACUUCGGUAUGUAAAGCUCUAUCAGCAGGGAAGAAAAUGACGGUACCUGACUAAGAAGCCCCGGCUAACUACGUGCCUGCAGCCGCGGUAAUCUGAGGCGGGCUGGCAAGGC
RNAcentral lists this ribosomal RNA (198 nucleotides) under uncultured bacterium. RNAcentral describes it as "partial 16S ribosomal RNA". It matches the Rfam family "Bacterial small subunit ribosomal RNA", at positions 328 to 539 of the family's 1533-position model. The record is from RNAcentral.